Molecule: long non-coding RNA, 2140 nt
Filed under: Sorghum bicolor (sorghum)
Lineage: Eukaryota; Viridiplantae; Streptophyta; Magnoliopsida; Poales; Poaceae
Description: long non-coding RNA (SBIC_LNC016203)
Source: RNAcentral
AAACUCAACACCUUCUAGCCCCCUAUAUGCCUCCCGAGUUACCUUGAGUAGCAUGUCAUAGUCCCCACUAGCACAAAUGUCAUCAAUUCUAUAAGUGAGAACCACUUCAAUCAUGAGGGAGACUAGCUACGAAACCAGAGGUCACCAUGGAGGCCAUUGUUCUUAAAGGAGAACCAUACCAUGCCUCCAAGAACCUCAAGGCAAAGGUAGGCAAUUGUGGCAAGAGGAGGUGCAAUCUUGGUCCAUAUCUCCAGGGCCAUCUGAAGCACCCAAGCAAUAAACAAGAUGGAGAGGUCCUGCUCUAUGGACCUAAAACAUGGAGCCCUUGCUGAUAAGGUAAAAUAGUAUUUAUCCCAUCUUUACUCAUUGCAUUUCAAUUCUUGCAUUUCCCUUCCAAUUGCAUGCUUAGUUUAGUUUUGCAUAUUUCCCUUCAACAAAAUGCUUAGGAAUAAUAAAUAAAAUUCUUGAGAACAACUUGCAAUAAAGUUUCGACCUGUGGAUCACCUAGAGGUGGGGUCGGUCGACCCCACCAUUGGACCCACUUGUAGUCUUUCAAUUUGGCUUGAUGCAAUGCGUCGAGGUCAGCACUUGGAUGCUCCUAGAGCUUUCAUGUUGGGGUCGGUCGACCCCAAGACUUGCCCUUUUGGCAGUCUGCUAUCUCCCAUUUGCUUUGCUUUAGAAACCCAUGCAUGACACACAAGCCAAAAUCUGAAAGGAAAUGGUCUGUUUGGGACCUGUGCACCAGCUUAAACUUGCAAAGUAGUCUCCUAGACAUGCUCUAGUGUUGUCAUGAUCACUGACAACCACUUUAAGCAAAUCUCCACUUUUGCAAAUCAUCUUUUCUCUUUCACAUAGCACUAGGCAAGGGAAUCUUAUAAAAGAACUUUACUUCUUGUCCAUGCCUAGGCUUUACAUUAGUAGACACUUAAUGCCACAUCAUUUAGAGUGCUAAAGUGCUUAGGGUAGGGGUUGGCCGACCCGUACAUUGGCCAAUCUCUAGAAAAGAGUUCAUAUAUGUUGCAAGAUUCCCUUCCAUGAUUCAAAAUUUUGAAACAUAGUGCUUAUGGGGAGGUCGGCCGACCCCCACAUUGGGAUGUUCACCACUUGCCCUUCUUCCCCUAUAAAUACCCAUGCAUUCUGAGCUCAACUCCACACCCAAAUUAUCUCCAGCUCACAAUCCCUCUUCUCUCUUCUUAGUUGCAAGUUAUUCUCAAGAUUAUAAUAGUUGUCCUUAAAAAAACAAAAAAAAAAUAUUUAGUCUUGUGUUGGGUAUUUUAAACGCAAACAGAAAAAUCCGCAAGCGCACGGAUACCGAUGUAGCUUUCACCCGGGAGUAUUCCAUGUAACACCCUAGUGUUAUGGUUGCAUAAAUCACAUGCAUAACAUGAGCGUCAUCAUCUACUCAAUCACAUCAUGAUCAUCAUCUACCUUGAGCCAUGUCAUUUUAUGCUUAAGUGUGCUUUAAUUUGUUUAAUCAUGCUUCCUAUGCUUGUGUUUGUGUGAACCAUGCUCAUGCUUGGGUGCUAUGCCUUGCUAAAUAGUUUAUCUAUGCCUAACUCAACCUUAGGAACAAUGUUCACGUUGAUCACUUCUCCAAAAUAAUCACUUAAGUCAUACUUACAUGUAUAGGCCCUAGAAACCUCUUUUGCUUAGGUUUUUAAAAAAUGUUUCAUAAAAUGUUUGCAUGUCAAAACUUUCUACAGCAAAGUUGUAAAAAUUUUAUAAGGAACAAAAGUUGUUUUAUGGCCAUCUCAUGAAAAUGAUCACAUCUAGCUCUAAAGUGACCCAAAAAGCAGAUUUGGGGCUGUUUCCAACACUUAGAAAAAUUUUAAGUCUGGGGACGCUGCAGUUUGCUUGAUCGAUUUUGAAAACUUCAUAUGUUUCAAACCAGGCCGAUCUACCUCUUGCUCCAGUUGCCAAUGUUGUAGAACUCAGCUAGUACUCCAACUUCGUCAACUACAUCAUCUCCUAAUUCGUUUUGGUUUGGGAGAUAAUCUUUGUCAAAGUAGCUCUGUCAGUCGGUCAUCGUUUUGUCUGAAUCAGAACCGAGCUCGUCGACGUGGCCGACCGGCGGCAGAGCAACAGCGACAUUGGCAUCCGUACGUCGUUUCUGGCCCCGCUCAUCAGCUCCAGAUGCCGC